RNAcentral lists this ribosomal RNA (2926 nucleotides) under Escherichia coli. RNAcentral describes it as "partial 23S ribosomal RNA". It matches the Rfam family "Bacterial large subunit ribosomal RNA". Lineage: Bacteria; Pseudomonadati; Pseudomonadota; Gammaproteobacteria; Enterobacterales; Enterobacteriaceae. The record is from RNAcentral.
GGGUUGUGAGGUUAAGCGACUAAGCGUACACGGUGGAUGCCCUGGCAGUCAGAGGCGAUGAAGGACGUGCUAAUCUGCGAUAAGCGUCGGUAAGGUGAUAUGAACCGUUAUAACCGGCGAUUUCCGAAUGGGGAAACCCAGUGUGUUUCGACACACUAUCAUUAACUGAAUCCAUAGGUUAAUGAGGCGAACCGGGGGAACUGAAACAUCUAAGUACCCCGAGGAAAAGAAAUCAACCGAGAUUCCCCCAGUAGCGGCGAGCGAACGGGGAGCAGCCCAGAGCCUGAAUCAGUGUGUGUGUUAGUGGAAGCGUCUGGAAAGGCGCGCGAUACAGGGUGACAGCCCCGUACACAAAAAUGCACAUGCUGUGAGCUCGAUGAGUAGGGCGGGACACGUGGUAUCCUGUCUGAAUAUGGGGGGACCAUCCUCCAAGGCUAAAUACUCCUGACUGACCGAUAGUGAACCAGUACCGUGAGGGAAAGGCGAAAAGAACCCCGGCGAGGGGAGUGAAAAAGAACCUGAAACCGUGUACGUACAAGCAGUGGGAGCCUCUUUAUGGGGUGACUGCGUACCUUUUGUAUAAUGGGUCAGCGACUUAUAUUCUGUAGCAAGGUUAACCGAAUAGGGGAGCCGAAGGGAAACCGAGUCUUAACUGGGCGUUAAGUUGCAGGGUAUAGACCCGAAACCCGGUGAUCUAGCCAUGGGCAGGUUGAAGGUUGGGUAACACUAACUGGAGGACCGAACCGACUAAUGUUGAAAAAUUAGCGGAUGACUUGUGGCUGGGGGUGAAAGGCCAAUCAAACCGGGAGAUAGCUGGUUCUCCCCGAAAGCUAUUUAGGUAGCGCCUCGUGAAUUCAUCUCCGGGGGUAGAGCACUGUUUCGGCAAGGGGGUCAUCCCGACUUACCAACCCGAUGCAAACUGCGAAUACCGGAGAAUGUUAUCACGGGAGACACACGGCGGGUGCUAACGUCCGUCGUGAAGAGGGAAACAACCCAGACCGCCAGCUAAGGUCCCAAAGUCAUGGUUAAGUGGGAAACGAUGUGGGAAGGCCCAGACAGCCAGGAUGUUGGCUUAGAAGCAGCCAUCAUUUAAAGAAAGCGUAAUAGCUCACUGGUCGAGUCGGCCUGCGCGGAAGAUGUAACGGGGCUAAACCAUGCACCGAAGCUGCGGCAGCGACGCUUAUGCGUUGUUGGGUAGGGGAGCGUUCUGUAAGCCUGUGAAGGUGUGCUGUGAGGCAUGCUGGAGGUAUCAGAAGUGCGAAUGCUGACAUAAGUAACGAUAAAGCGGGUGAAAAGCCCGCUCGCCGGAAGACCAAGGGUUCCUGUCCAACGUUAAUCGGGGCAGGGUGAGUCGACCCCUAAGGCGAGGCCGAAAGGCGUAGUCGAUGGGAAACAGGUUAAUAUUCCUGUACUUGGUGUUACUGCGAAGGGGGGACGGAGAAGGCUAUGUUGGCCGGGCGACGGUUGUCCCGGUUUAAGCGUGUAGGCUGGUUUUCCAGGCAAAUCCGGAAAAUCAAGGCUGAGGCGUGAUGACGAGGCACUACGGUGCUGAAGCAACAAAUGCCCUGCUUCCAGGAAAAGCCUCUAAGCAUCAGGUAACAUCAAAUCGUACCCCAAACCGACACAGGUGGUCAGGUAGAGAAUACCAAGGCGCUUGAGAGAACUCGGGUGAAGGAACUAGGCAAAAUGGUGCCGUAACUUCGGGAGAAGGCACGCUGAUAUGUAGGUGAGGUCCCUCGCGGAUGGAGCUGAAAUCAGUCGAAGAUACCAGCUGGCUGCAACUGUUUAUUAAAAACACAGCACUGUGCAAACACGAAAGUGGACGUAUACGGUGUGACGCCUGCCCGGUGCCGGAAGGUUAAUUGAUGGGGUUAGCGGUAACGCGAAGCUCUUGAUCGAAGCCCCGGUAAACGGCGGCCGUAACUAUAACGGUCCUAAGGUAGCGAAAUUCCUUGUCGGGUAAGUUCCGACCUGCACGAAUGGCGUAAUGAUGGCCAGGCUGUCUCCACCCGAGACUCAGUGAAAUUGAACUCGCUGUGAAGAUGCAGUGUACCCGCGGCAAGACGGAAAGACCCCGUGAACCUUUACUAUAGCUUGACACUGAACAUUGAGCCUUGAUGUGUAGGAUAGGUGGGAGGCUUUGAAGUGUGGACGCCAGUCUGCAUGGAGCCGACCUUGAAAUACCACCCUUUAAUGUUUGAUGUUCUAACGUUGACCCGUAAUCCGGGUUGCGGACAGUGUCUGGUGGGUAGUUUGACUGGGGCGGUCUCCUCCUAAAGAGUAACGGAGGAGCACGAAGGUUGGCUAAUCCUGGUCGGACAUCAGGAGGUUAGUGCAAUGGCAUAAGCCAGCUUGACUGCGAGCGUGACGGCGCGAGCAGGUGCGAAAGCAGGUCAUAGUGAUCCGGUGGUUCUGAAUGGAAGGGCCAUCGCUCAACGGAUAAAAGGUACUCCGGGGAUAACAGGCUGAUACCGCCCAAGAGUUCAUAUCGACGGCGGUGUUUGGCACCUCGAUGUCGGCUCAUCACAUCCUGGGGCUGAAGUAGGUCCCAAGGGUAUGGCUGUUCGCCAUUUAAAGUGGUACGCGAGCUGGGUUUAGAACGUCGUGAGACAGUUCGGUCCCUAUCUGCCGUGGGCGCUGGAGAACUGAGGGGGGCUGCUCCUAGUACGAGAGGACCGGAGUGGACGCAUCACUGGUGUUCGGGUUGUCAUGCCAAUGGCACUGCCCGGUAGCUAAAUGCGGAAGAGAUAAGUGCUGAAAGCAUCUAAGCACGAAACUUGCCCCGAGAUGAGUUCUCCCUGACUCCUUGAGAGUCCUGAAGGAACGUUGAAGACGACGACGUUGAUAGGCCGGGUGUGUAAGCGCAGCGAUGCGUUGAGCUAACCGGUACUAAUGAACCGUGAGGCUUAACCUUACAACGCCGAAG